Grammomys surdaster is the source of this 65-nucleotide small nuclear RNA. RefSeq annotates it as U7 small nuclear RNA. The transcript has a single exon. Lineage: Eukaryota; Metazoa; Chordata; Mammalia; Rodentia; Muridae. The record is from RefSeq and is a predicted model, not a curated record.
AAGGGUGACAGCUCUUUUAGAAUUUGUCUGGAAGGUUUUCUAGCUUUCACUGGAAACCAACCCCC